UGGGGAAUUUUGGACAAUGGGGGAAACCCUGAUCCAGCCAUCCCGCGUGUGCGAUGAAGGCCUUCGGGUUGUAAAGCACUUUUGGCAGGAAAGAAACGUCGCGGGUUAAUACCCCGCGAAACUGACGGUACCUGCAGAAUAAGCACCGGCUAACUACGUGCCAGCAGCCGCGGUAAUACGUAGGGUGCAAGCGUUAAUCGGAAUUACUGGGCGUAAAGCGUGCGCAGGCGGUUCGGAAAGAAAGAUGUGAAAUCCCAGAGCUUAACUUUGGAACUGCAUUUUUAACUACCGGGCUAGAGUGUGUCAGAGGGAGGUGGAAUUCCGCGUGUAGCAGUGAAAUGCGUAGAUAUGCGGAGGAACACCGAUGGCGAAGGCAGCCUCCUGGGGAUAACACUGACGCUCAUGCACGAAAAGCGUGGGGAGCAAAACAGGAUUAGAUACCCUGGUAGUCCACGCCCUAAAACGAUGUCAAACUAGCUGUUGGGGGCCUUCGGGCCUUGGUAGCGCAGCUAACGCGUGAAGUUGACCGCCUGGGGAGUACGGUCGCAAGAUUAAAAACUCAAAAUGAAUUGACGGGGGUCAUAGCUGUUUUCCU
Molecule: ribosomal RNA, 595 nt
Filed under: uncultured bacterium
Lineage: Bacteria
Description: partial 16S ribosomal RNA
Rfam family: Bacterial small subunit ribosomal RNA
Source: RNAcentral